AUUGAACGCUGGCGGCGUGCUUAACACAUGCAAGUCGAACGGUAACAGGUGUAGCACUACAUGCUGACGAGUGGCGGACGGGUGAGGAAUGCUUGGGAAUCUGCCUGUUAGUGGGGGACAACCCGGGGAAACUCGGGCUAAUACCGCAUACGCUCUACGGAGGAAAGCGGGGGACCGUAAGGCCUCGCGCUAACAGAUGAGCCCAAGUCGGAUUAGCUAGUUGGUGGGGUAAAAGCCUACCAAGGCGACGAUCCGUAGCUGGUCUGAGAGGACGAUCAGCCACACUGGGACUGAGACACGGCCCAGACUCCUACGGGAGGCAGCAGUGGGGAAUAUUGGACAAUGGGGGCAACCCUGAUCCAGCAAUGCCGCGUGUGUGAAGAAGGCCUGCGGGUUGUAAAGCACUUUUGGCAGGGAUGAAAAGCACUGGAUUAAUAACCCAGUGUGUUGACCUAACCUGCAGAAGAAGCACCGGCUAACUCUGUG
Molecule: ribosomal RNA, 486 nt
Filed under: uncultured bacterium
Lineage: Bacteria
Description: partial 16S ribosomal RNA
Rfam family: Bacterial small subunit ribosomal RNA
Source: RNAcentral